This 321-nucleotide ribosomal RNA is filed under the name Escherichia coli. RNAcentral's name for it is "partial 23S ribosomal RNA". It matches the Rfam family "Bacterial large subunit ribosomal RNA", at positions 872 to 1191 of the family's 2925-position model. The record is from RNAcentral. Lineage: Bacteria; Pseudomonadati; Pseudomonadota; Gammaproteobacteria; Enterobacterales; Enterobacteriaceae.
AGGUAGCGCCUCGUGAAUUCAUCUCCGGGGGUAGAGCACUGUUUCGGCAAGGGGGUCAUCCCGACUUACCAACCCGAUGCAAACUGCGAAUACCGGAGAAUGUUAUCACGGGAGACACACGGCGGGUGCUAACGUCCGUCGUGAAGAGGGAAACAACCCAGACCGCCAGCUAAGGUCCCAAAGUCAUGGUUAAGUGGGAAACGAUGUGGGAAGGCCCAGACAGCCAGGAUGUUGGCUUAGAAGCAGCCAUCAUUUAAAGAAAGCGUAAUAGCUCACUGGUCGAGUCGGCCUGCGCGGAAGAUGUAACGGGGCUAAACCAUG